Molecule: unclassified non-coding RNA, 271 nt
Filed under: uncultured fungus
Lineage: Eukaryota; Fungi
Description: partial contains 5.8S ribosomal RNA, internal transcribed spacer 2, and large subunit ribosomal RNA
Rfam family: 5.8S ribosomal RNA (bases 1-52)
Source: RNAcentral
AACGCACAUUGCGCCCGCUAGUAUUCUAGCGGGCAUGCCUGUUCGAGCGUCAUUUCAACCCUCAGGCCCCUCCGCUCUCGCGGGGGAUCAGCGCCUGGUGUUGGGGAUCGGCCGCUAAGGUCGUCCCUGAAAUACAGUGGCGGUCUCGCUGUAGCGUUACCUUUGCGUAGUAAUUACUCUCGCACCGGAGCGCGGCGUGGCCCAAGCCGUAAAACCCCCUACUUUAUGAAAGGUUGACCUCGGAUCAGGUAGGAAUACCCGCUGAACUUAA